This 497-nucleotide ribosomal RNA is filed under the name uncultured bacterium. RNAcentral describes it as "partial 16S ribosomal RNA". It matches the Rfam family "Bacterial small subunit ribosomal RNA", at positions 28 to 507 of the family's 1533-position model. The record is from RNAcentral.
GAUGAACGCUGGCGGCGUGCCUAAUACAUGCAAGUCGAGCGAACGGACGAGAAGCUUGCUUCUCUGACGUUAGCGGCGGACGGGUGAGUAACACGUGGAUAACCUACCUAUAAGACUGGGAUAACUUCGGGAAACCGGAGCUAAUACCGGAUGAUAUUUUGAACCGCAUGGUUCAAAAGUGAAAGACGGUCUUGCUGUCACUUAUAGAUGGAUCCGCGCUGCAUUAGCUAGUUGGUAAGGUAACGGCUUACCAAGGCAACGAUGCUUAGCCGACCUGAGAGGGUGAGCGGCCACACUGGAACUGAGACACGGUCCAGACUCCUACGGGAGGCAGCAGUAGGGAAUCUUCCGCAAAGGGCGAAAGCCUGACGGAGCAACGCCGCGUGAGUGAUGAAGGUCUUCGGAUCGUAAAACUCUGUUAUUAGGGAAGAACAUAUGUGUAAGUAACUGUGCACAUCUUGACGGUACCUAAUCAGAAAGCCACGGCUAACUACGUG